AUUGAACGCUGGCGGCAGGCUUAACACAUGCAAGUCGAGCGAGUGGCGGACGGGUGAGUAAUGUAUGGGGACUGCCCGAUAGAGGGGGAUAACUACUGGAAACGGUGGCUAAUACCGCAUACUAUCGGAUAACCCAUAUGGGAUUAGCUAGUUGGUGGGGUAAAGGCUCACCUAGGCGACGAUACCUAGCUGGUUUGAGAGGAUGACCAGCCACACUGGGACUGGGACACGGCCCAGACUCCUACGGAGGCAGCAUUGGGGAAUUUUGGACAAUGGGCGAAAGCCUGAUGCAGCCAUCCCGCGUGGAUGAAGAAGGCCUUAGGGUUGUAAAGUACUUUAAGCGGGGAGGCGUUACCAGCAGAAGAAGCACCGGCUAACUCCGUGCCAGCAGCCGCGGUAAUAC
RNAcentral lists this ribosomal RNA (403 nucleotides) under uncultured bacterium. RNAcentral's name for it is "partial 16S ribosomal RNA". It matches the Rfam family "Bacterial small subunit ribosomal RNA", at positions 30 to 526 of the family's 1533-position model. The record is from RNAcentral.